RNAcentral lists this unclassified non-coding RNA (200 nucleotides) under Cryptococcus sp. (in: basidiomycete fungi). Its description in RNAcentral is "Cryptococcus sp. partial internal transcribed spacer 2". The record is from RNAcentral. Lineage: Eukaryota; Fungi; Basidiomycota; Tremellomycetes; Tremellales; Cryptococcaceae.
UUAAGUUCAGCGGGUAGUCCUACCUGAUUUGAGGCCAGAUGUAUAAAAAACGUCUCCGAAGAGAGCAGGGGUUAGAAAGCAGACGGUAGUCAAGUGGAUGGCCAUCCGAAGAUGUCCUCAGCGAAAUACUUAUUACGCCAAGUCAAACCAGUCCUCAGGACAAGUCCAGCUAAUCAAUUUAAGGUGAGCCAUCAAUGAAG